RNAcentral lists this long non-coding RNA (261 nucleotides) under Elaeis guineensis (African oil palm). Its description in RNAcentral is "long non-coding RNA (EGUI_LNC011601)". Lineage: Eukaryota; Viridiplantae; Streptophyta; Magnoliopsida; Arecales; Arecaceae. The record is from RNAcentral.
CUGAUUGUUUAAUGGUGGUAUAUAUGUACACUUAACUAGUGGAGAGUACCCAAUAGUCUUUGAGGACAAGACUUAUUGUAGCACGCUGCAUUUAUGUGUGGGUGUCAGAUUUGGCAUCCGUAUUGAUGCUUGGCUGCCAUUGCUCCAUCCAUCAAACGCCGCAUGGUCUCGCUGGUACAGUACUGAUCAUGCAUUUGACUUGAGAAGAACCCCAUCCACACCUUGUUGUGCAUUGUUCCAUUGAGGAACUGAUGGUUUGUG